UACAGAGGUCUCGAGCGUUGUUCGGAUUCAUUGGGCGUAAAGGGUGCGUAGGUGGCGGGGCAAGUCAGGUGUGAAAUCUCGGAGCUCAACCCCGAAACUGCACUUGAUACUGCUUUGCUAGAGUACUGGAGAGGAGAUUGGAAUUUACGGUGUAGCAGUGAAAUGCGUAGAUAUCGUAAGGAAGACCAGUGGCGAAGGCGAAUCUCUGGACAGUUACUGACACUGAGGCACGAAGGCCAGGGGAGCAAACGGG
This 253-nucleotide ribosomal RNA is filed under the name uncultured bacterium. RNAcentral describes it as "partial 16S ribosomal RNA". It matches the Rfam family "Bacterial small subunit ribosomal RNA", at positions 524 to 776 of the family's 1533-position model. The record is from RNAcentral.